RNAcentral lists this ribosomal RNA (479 nucleotides) under uncultured bacterium. RNAcentral describes it as "bacterial SSU rRNA". It matches the Rfam family "Bacterial small subunit ribosomal RNA", at positions 335 to 795 of the family's 1533-position model. The record is from RNAcentral.
ACUCCGUACGGGAGGCAGCAGGUAGGGAAUCUUCCACAAUGGGACGCAAGCCUGAUGGAGCAACACCGCGUGAGUGAAGAAGGUUUCGGCUCGUAAAGCUCUGUUGUUAAAGAAGAACACGUAUGAGAGUAACUGUUCAUACGUUGACGGUAUUUAACCAGAAAGUCACGGCUAACUACGUGCCAGCAGCCGCGGUAAUACGUAGGUGGCAAGCGUUAUCCGGAUUUAUUGGGCGUAAAGAGAGUGCAGGCGGUUUUCUAAGUCUGAUGUGAAAGCCUUCGGGCUUAACCGGAGAAGUGCAUCGGAAACUGGAUAACUUGAGUGCAGAAGAGGGGUAGUGGUAACUCCAUGUGUAGACGGUGGAAUGCGUAGAUAUAAUGGAAGAACACCAGUGGCGAACGGCGGCUAACCUGGUCUGCAACUGACGCUGAGACUCGAAAGCAAUGGGUAGCGAACAGGAUUAGAUACCCUGGUAGGAU